AAUAGCUAAUAACCCAAAAUAAAUCAGUAAAUUAAAUCUUUACCAGCAAAAAUACAAAACAGACAAGAAUAAGGAAAACCAUUUUUCUAAAGUAAUUUAUUUAAAACUAUGUCGUCAUAGCCAAGGGGUCGCCUUAACCCGCCUUAGGCCGCCUUGACUCUUCUCGACCCUGCCAGGCCCACCUAGGGCAGCAAAAGGGGCCCCAUGACCCACCUAGGGCCGCCACAGGGCUGCCUUUACACGCCUUGACUCUCCUAGGCCCGUCUAAGGCCACCUUAACUCGUCUAGGGACGCCAAGAGGCCGCCUUGACCUUCCUAGGGCCGCCAAGGGGCCACCAUGACACGCCUAGGGCCGCAAAGGGGACGUCAUGACCCAUCGAGGGACUGCCUUUACACGCCUAGGGUUGUUUUGACCUCCCUUGGCCCACCAUGACCCGCCUAUGGCCGCCAAAGGGCUGCCUAGGGCCGCCAUGGGGCCACCUUGACCCGUAUUGGAACGCCUUGGCCGUCUUGACACGCCUUAGGCCGCCGUGAUCCGCCUUGACCCGCCUUGGGCCGCCUCGACCCGCCUUGAACUGCCUUGGGCCGCCUUUACCCUCCUAGACUCGCCUAGGCCCGCCUUAACUCUCCUAGACCCGCCUAGGCCCAUCAAAGGGCUGCCUUUACACACCUUAAUCCUCUUAGCCCGCCUAGGGCCACCUUGGCCCGUCAAGGGGCUGCCUUUACACGCCUUAACCCGUCUUGGCCCGCCUUAGGCCGCCUUGACCAUCCUCAGCCUUUAUAGGCCCACCUAAGGCAGCUAAUGGGAGCCAUGACCCACCUAGAGCCGCCAAUGGGCUGCCUUUACUCGCCUAUGACCUCUAAUGGGACGUCUUGACUCGCCAAGGGGCUGCCUUUACACGCCUAAGUCAGUUUUGACCUCCCUGGGCCCGCCAUGACCCACCUAGGGCCGCUAUGAGGCUACCUUGACCCGUCUAGGACCGCCNNNNNNNNNNNNNNNNNNNNNNNNNNNNNNNNNNNNNNNNNNNNNNNNNNNNNNNNNNNNNNNNNNNNNNNNNNNNNNNNNNGAGCCACCAAGGGGCUGCCUUUACACGCCUUGACCCGUCUAGGGCCGCCAAGGGGCCGCCUUGACACGCCUAGGGCUGCCAAGGGGACGUCUUGACCCGCCAAGGGGCUGCCUUUACACACCUAGGGCUAUUUUGACCUCUCUAGUGCCCGCGAUGACCCGCCUAGGGCUGCCUAUGUUCGCCAUGGGGCCACCUUGACCUGCAUUGGCCCAUCUUGGGCCGUUUUGACCCGCAUUGACCCUCCUUGGCUCUUCUAGGCCCACCUAGGGCAGUCAAGCGGGCGCCUUAACCCGCCUUAGACCGCCUUGGGCCGCCUUGACCCUCCUAGACCCGCCUAAGGCCACCAAGAAGCUGCCAUUACUCGCCAAGGGGUCGCCAUGACCCUCUUUGGCCCGUCUAGGGCCUCCUUAACCCGCCUUAGAUCGCCUUGACCCUGGGACGCCUUGACCCUGGGACGCCUUGGGCCGCCUUGACUCUCAUCGGCCCUACUAGGCCCACCUAGGGCAGGAAAGGGGGCGCUAUGACCCACCUAGGGCCGCCAAGGGGUGGCCUUGACCCGUUUAGGGGCUGUCUUGACCCUCCUAGACCCGCCUAGGGCCGCCUUGAUCCUCCUAGACUUGCCUAGGGCCACCAAGAAGUCUCCAUGUCUCGCCAAGGGGUUGCCAUUACACUCCUAGGCCCGUCUAGGGUCACCAAGGGGCCGUCUUAACCCGCCUUAGGCCGCCUUGACCCAUCUUGGCCCGCCUCGGCCCCAUGGGCCGCCUUGACCCUUGUCGGUUCUGCUAAGCCCACCUAGGGCAGCCAAGGGGCGCCAUGACCCACCUAGGACCGCCAAGGGGCUACCUUUACACGGCAAAGGCCACCAAGGAGCCGUCUUGACCCGCUAAGGGGCUAUCUUUACACGCCUAGGGCCGCUUUGACCUCCCUAAGCUAUUGAAAUUGCUGUUUUAAUUGGAAUUGAGUGACUUUCCAAGAUUUCGUUCUUUCAAUUCUUUUCAUAUUGACACCGGGAACUUUAGUUUUAAAAGAAAAUGAGGUAUUGCCCCUCAUUUCAAAUUUCACUAAAUUCGAGCCAAAAUCAUUUGCUAUAGCACACGAGUUUCCAGCCAGUUUCACUUUUUUUAGGACUACGGCUUUUUUCGUUCGGGUGUGCUUAUAGACACCUCCUAACACAUAUUGAACCAUUCUAGCUUCAAAAAUCCAUGUCUUUUUAUAAUUUACUCGUGAUCGGGCCUAAAUAACUCACGUCUGCCGUGUUUUGUAAAGCUGUUGAAAUUGUUGUUUUAAUUGGUAUUGAGUGACUUUUUAAGAUUUUUUUCUCUUCAAUUCUUCUCAUAAUGACAUCGGAAAC
RNAcentral lists this long non-coding RNA (2418 nucleotides) under Fragaria vesca (wild strawberry). RNAcentral's name for it is "long non-coding RNA (FVES_LNC003841)". The record is from RNAcentral. Lineage: Eukaryota; Viridiplantae; Streptophyta; Magnoliopsida; Rosales; Rosaceae.